This 465-nucleotide ribosomal RNA is filed under the name uncultured bacterium. RNAcentral's name for it is "partial 16S ribosomal RNA". It matches the Rfam family "Bacterial small subunit ribosomal RNA", at positions 28 to 507 of the family's 1533-position model. The record is from RNAcentral.
GACGAACGCUGGCGGCGUGCUUAACACAUGCAAGUCGAGCGGUAAGGCCCCUUCGGGGGUACACGAGCGGCGAACGGGUGAGUAACACGUGAGCAAUCUGCCCAUCACAUCGGGAUAACUCCGGGAAACCGAAGCUAAUACCGAAUACGACCACCUCCGGCAUCGGAUGGUGGUGGAAAGUUCCGGCGGUGAUGGAUGAGCUCGCGGCCUAUCAGCUUGUUGGUGGGGUAACGGCCCACCAAGGCUUCGACGGGUAGCCGGCCUGAGAGGGUGACCGGCCACACUGGGACUGAGACACGGCCCAGACUCCUACGGGAGGCAGCAGUGGGGAAUAUUGGACAAUGGGCGAAAGCCUGAUCCAGCAACGCCGCGUGAGGGAUGACGGCCUUCGGGUUGAAAACCUCUUUCAGCAGGGACGAAGCGCAAGUGACGGUACCUGCAGAAGAAGCACCGGCCAACUACGUG